Candoia aspera is the source of this 115-nucleotide small nuclear RNA. RefSeq annotates it as U5 spliceosomal RNA. The record is from RefSeq and is a predicted model, not a curated record. The transcript has a single exon. Lineage: Eukaryota; Metazoa; Chordata; Lepidosauria; Squamata; Candoiidae.
AUACUCUGGUUUCUCUUCAGAUAGUAUAAAUCUUUCACCUUUUACUAAAGAUUUCUGUGGAGAGGAACAUUUAUGAGUUCUCUAGACUUUAACAUUGGUUGUCAUAAUUGCUAGG